UACGUAGGGUGCAAGCGUUAAUCGGAAUUACUGGGCGUAAAGCGUGCGCAGGCGGUUGUGCAAGACAGAUGUGAAAUCCCCGGGCUUAACCUGGGAACUGCAUUUGUGACUGGCAGGCUUUGAGUGUGGCAGAGGGAGGUAGAAUUCCACGUGUAGCAGUGAAAUGCGUAGAGAUGUGGAGGAAUACCGAUGGCGAAGGCAGCCUCCUGGGCCAACACUGACGCUCAUGCACGAAAGCGUGGGGAGCAAACAGG
This 254-nucleotide ribosomal RNA is filed under the name uncultured bacterium. RNAcentral's name for it is "partial 16S ribosomal RNA". It matches the Rfam family "Bacterial small subunit ribosomal RNA", at positions 524 to 776 of the family's 1533-position model. The record is from RNAcentral.